AUUGUCCAGGCCCAAGUUGGCCUCCAUGUUUCAUGUCACACCCAGUGGUGUAUUUUGGAUUUGUGCUGCCAUAGGCACGACUAAAUUCGGGCACCCCCAAAAUCUAAAUUUGCCCCACCAAUUCUUGUCAAGGCCACUUUUUUAACUGACAGACACAUGCCCUCAUUAAUACAUGCACUGAUAUACACUCACUGACAGACACACUGACAGGCACACACACU
Pelobates cultripes (western spadefoot toad) is the source of this 221-nucleotide non-coding RNA. The record is from the annotation of a GenBank genome assembly. NCBI's taxonomy places the organism in Eukaryota, Metazoa, Chordata, Amphibia, Anura, Pelobatidae.